Ictalurus punctatus (channel catfish) is the source of this 1627-nucleotide long non-coding RNA. The record is from Ensembl. Lineage: Eukaryota; Metazoa; Chordata; Actinopteri; Siluriformes; Ictaluridae.
AAACUCCAUGUGAAAAGUUAUGACUUACUGGACGAAAAUCACGUGCAAAGUCAGAUAAAUAAAUAAAUAAACAAAUAAAUAAAGCAAUAACGCACACGUGCAUAAGUGUGUGAACCAUAACAUGCAGUGCCUACAGUACGAGCACGUUUUAGUGAGUCACGUGAUUCUCCUAGAGGACGCAUGCUAUUUCAUACGUCAUGGAUGUUCGUGUGUGAGACAGAAUGACGUCAGAGUUGUUUGUUGAACCUAUAGAUGGCGGAAGACUCCUUUCCGUGUCACGCGCUUUAUUCCAGUCUUUGACUUAAUUUCGGUUUGAAGCAGAAAAAAAAAGAAGCAAAACUGUAGCUGGGAAAAGUUGAACACACGCAUUAGCAUGCUUCGAAAUCGAAAUGUGCAUGAAGCUGCGCGCGCGGAUCAGCGUUCUGGGUUAAAAAAGCGUGCUGUUCUCGUGCUGCAGAGGCGCGCGCGCUCCACUCCAUGGAUGAGUCCUCUGCCUGCGUCUCGCGCACCAAAUCUCCGUUUUCUCUCUCUCUGACCGCUCAGUUGUUGUUGUUGUUGUUGUUGUUUUUUUUUUCUUCGCAACGCUUCAUGACAUGACAUGACAGACGCUCGAGCUGGAUUUGCUUUCUUUUCUUCUUCUUCUUCUCUUCUCUUCUUUUUUAAUUAUUUUUUUUAUACUUCUUUCCGACGUCAUCUGCUCUUCUCACGCGACGAUCAGAGGCUGGAUCCCGGGACGUCUCUUAGUCGCGCGCACGGUAAGCAGGACAAAGAGACUAGCUGUCUGAAGGAGAUGUCAGAGAUAGUCACUGGAACCUUCUUAGAGAAACGCGAUGACCACAGAUGACCCAGCGGACAUUGGGAUAAUCCUGGAAGGCGUGGAGGCGCUCAGAGAGUUAUCUAGUGUACCCUUUGCAGUGGCAAUGCUUCUGGGUCUUAUAUAUGCGCUCAACCUAAAUUAUCCACCAGAGCUUAGGUGUAUAUUUACAUUCGGAAAAGUCAGUCAGAAAAUGAUGGGACUGGAUGGAAACAUGCACUAAAACCCAAGCUGCUUUGUUAUGAAGUCAUCGAAUACAUGAUUUUAAAACAUUGAGGCAUUUUUUUUUUUUUUUGGAAAGACUUUUUUUGUACUCAAAUUUGUUCACGUGAGUCUUGUGGUGUUCUUGCUGUUUUUUUUUUUUGUUUGUUUUGUUUUGUGUUUUAAAUGUGUAUGUUAGGAACAACCACAAGAAGAAGCAUGUGAAAAUGUAAAGCCUUGUUUCGGGGCAUUUUAUAAAAUGCAAGUUAACGUUUUGGAAAAUCUCUGAAGGCGAAAUACUCGAGCACAGUUUUGAAAUGUAACGCGUUACAGUUUGUCCGUAUCGAAGGCCAGAUUCGGACGCUGUUGGUUUCUUUGUGACUGUUGAAUGUUGUAAACCAGAUGAAGAAUGUAGUACCUUGUUCAGUAUGUUUUAAGAAAUACAAACUGAAGUUUUUGCAAGUCUCUGAAAGAAGGAUUUUAAUGAUUUUUCUUGUUUGAACUUAACUUUUUAACGUAACUUUUAAAAAAAAUUUUUUUAUAUUAACAAACACGAGAGCAAUAUCUUGACAUGAUAAACGGCAUGAUUUUCAGGUUUUCGGUCUCUUUGUA